AGUGAACGCUGGCGGUAGGCCUAACACAUGCAAGUCGAACGGCAGCACAGUAAGAGCUUGCUCUUACGGGUGGCGAGUGGCGGACGGGUGAGGAAUACAUCGGAAUCUACUUUUUCGUGGGGGAUAACGUAGGGAAACUUACGCUAAUACCGCAUACGACCUACGGGUGAAAGCAGGGGAUCUUCGGACCUUGCGCGAUUGAAUGAGCCGAUGUCGGAUUAGCUAGUUGGCGGGGUAAAGGCCCACCAAGGCGACGAUCCGUAGCUGGUCUGAGAGGAUGACACGCCACACUGGAACGGAGAAACGGUCCAGACUCCCACGGGAGGGAGCAGUGGGGAAUUUUGGAAAAUGGGCGAAAGCCUGAUCCAGCCAUACCGGGUGGGUGAAGAAGGCCUUCGGGUUUUAAAGCCCUUUUGUUGGGAAAAAAAAGCAGCAGGUUAAUACCCCGCUGUUUUGACGGUACCCAAAGAAUAAGCACCGGCUAACUUCGU
This 491-nucleotide ribosomal RNA is filed under the name uncultured bacterium. RNAcentral's name for it is "partial 16S ribosomal RNA". It matches the Rfam family "Bacterial small subunit ribosomal RNA", at positions 29 to 506 of the family's 1533-position model. The record is from RNAcentral.